Molecule: ribosomal RNA, 255 nt
Filed under: uncultured bacterium
Lineage: Bacteria
Description: partial 16S ribosomal RNA
Rfam family: Bacterial small subunit ribosomal RNA
Source: RNAcentral
CGGACGGGUGAGUAACGCGUGAGGAACCUGCCUUUCAGUGGGGGACAACAGUUGGAAACGACUGCUAAUACCGCAUAACGUACGGGUAUCGCAUGGUAUCUGUAUCAAAGAUUUAUCGCUGAGAGAUGGCCUCGCGUCUGAUUAGCUAGUUGGUAGGGUAACGGCCUACCAAGGCGACGAUCAGUAGCCGGACUGAGAGGUUGGCCGGCCACAUUGGGACUGAGAUACGGCCCAGACUCCUACGGGAGGCAGCAG